RNAcentral lists this ribosomal RNA (253 nucleotides) under uncultured bacterium. Its description in RNAcentral is "partial 16S ribosomal RNA". It matches the Rfam family "Bacterial small subunit ribosomal RNA", at positions 524 to 776 of the family's 1533-position model. The record is from RNAcentral.
UACGAAGGGGGCGAGCGUUGUCCGGAUUUACUGGGCGUAAAGAGCGCGCAGGCGGUCGUUCAAGUCGAGUGUGAAAGCCCCCGGCUCAACUGGGGAGGGUCACUUGAUACUGAUCGACUCGAAGGCAGGAGAGGGAAGCGGAAUUCCCGGUGUAGUGGUGAAAUGCGUAGAUAUCGGGAGGAACACCAGUGGCGAAGGCGGCUUCCUGGCCUGUUCUUGACGCUGAGGCGCGAAAGCUAGGGGAGCAAACGGG